Oryzias latipes (Japanese medaka) is the source of this 1131-nucleotide long non-coding RNA. RefSeq lists it as uncharacterized. The record is from RefSeq and is a predicted model, not a curated record. NCBI's taxonomy places the organism in Eukaryota, Metazoa, Chordata, Actinopteri, Beloniformes, Adrianichthyidae.
UGUGCCGCGGGAUUUUUGUCAAGGUUAAAAUGUGCCGUGGCUCAAAAAAGGUUGAAAAACACUGACUUAAGAGACAUGAUUGUUUGAGCAACUUCAGUUUCAGUGACAGUCAUUAAGUUAAGUAUAGGCUCGGUCUUAUUUAUGGAACAAACAUGCAAAUCAUUAGCUUUAAAAUGAGCAGCAAUUAUGAUUUUGAGAUCAUAAAUAAACAAUGAUCAUUUUUUCAUGUUGAUGAUUCUGAUUCUUUGAAUUGUUUUCAUGUUUUCUACCAAUAUCAAAUAUAGAGAUGGGUAUUGUUAUGGUUAUAACGGGGGCGGUUAAUUGAGACACCGCGACUCCUGCUGCUUCAUCAAAAAUCCCACACUGUCACAGCUCUAGCUUAUAUCUUGUGUGACACAAACAUGCAACACAAAAUGUGACUUCUCCAGUACCGAUAGCAGAACCGUUGAGGUCAGAUCUUAACGAUACUGUGGUCUUGAAGAAUGUUGCCCCGGGGCUCGUUCAGUACCGCGGCUCGAUACCCAUUCCUAAUCAAAUAGUCUUUUGAAUGGUAAACUUGUAUUUUUUUCCCUCACAGAUCUGGCUGAAGUGUCACCUACUACCCACCUUGUUGCAAAAAAACCGCAACAAGACAUAAAAAAGCUGACAGAAAAAGUUCAGAGGCAGGAGGAGCUCAUCAAAGAGCUGUCAGCUGAGAAAGAUUUUCUGAAAGAACAGCUAGCAAUUCUUCCUCUGACUCUUCGUCUGAGUUUUCAUCUUCAGAUGAAGAGGAGAAGAAGAAGAAAAAGAAGGGAAAAAAUAAGAAAGGAACACCAAAAAAGAAGAAAAAAAGAGGCAAGAGUGGAAAGAAGAGCCAAAACAAAGCCCGCAAACGUGUCAGAAGAGGUGAUGCCGAGCCUGACUUGACUGCACCUCACUGGACCAUUGACUCUCAGUGAGGGGUCGAUGUUACGAGGGGCCCCUGGCUCUUUGAGUGAGUGACUCCUUUUUCACUGUGUGUUGGUUCUCUUCUGAAUCUUUGCGCUUUGCUUUUUGGGUCUUCGAAAUAAUAAAGGGAUGAUGUUUUUUAAGGCCUCUUUGUAAAAAUGUUUCACUUAUUGAUGCCCUUAACCCUUGUGCUAUCUUAGAUGA